GUCGGANCUGCCCGGUGAAGAGUUUUUAACGGCCGCGGUACUCUGACCGUGCAAAGGUAGCAUAAUCAUUUGCCUUAUAAUUGAAGGCUGGUAUGAAUGGUUUGACAAGAAUAUAGCUGUCUCUUUAUUGAUUUGAUAGAAUUUUAUUUCUGGGUGAAAAAGCCUAGAUUUAAUUAAAAGACAAGAAGACCCUAUCGAGCUUUAAAGAAUUGAGUGGAUAUAAUUAAAAUAAUGCCGAUAUAAAAUUGUAGAAGGCAAAGCUGCUUAAUAUUUUGGUUGGGGCGACUGAGGAACAUGUAAAGCUUCCUUUAUAUUAUUUCUAAACUUUCGAGUGUUGAUCCAAUUAUAUUGAUUAAGGGAAUUAGUUACCGUAGGGAUAACAGCAUUAUCCUUCUUGAGAGCCCAUAUCGAAAGAAGGGUUUGUGACCUCGAUGUUGGACCAGAAUGUCCUAAAGAUGCAGAAGUCUUUGAGGGUUGGUCUGUUCGACCAUUAAAAUUCUA
RNAcentral lists this ribosomal RNA (501 nucleotides) under Hastula albula. RNAcentral's name for it is "partial 16S ribosomal RNA". It matches the Rfam family "Bacterial large subunit ribosomal RNA", at positions 1852 to 2598 of the family's 2925-position model. Lineage: Eukaryota; Metazoa; Mollusca; Gastropoda; Neogastropoda; Terebridae. The record is from RNAcentral.